UAGAAGUUACCUUUGCUGGAUUUCUAGUUAAUCUUCCCUGCUUACCUAUUUUACUCAAAAUAUGUGGAGCUUCUCUGGUUGUUAUUUUGAGUAAAGUGUUGUGAAAACUUCCCAAUGAACUCUUGGCUCAUGAUUCUCCGUGACUUCCAAAGAGAGAGGGAGAUGUUGGUUUAAAGAAUUUUCAUUUGAUUAUUGGUUAUUCGUUCCCCUUUGAAAUUUAAUUUUGACAUGUUUGAUUCGUAAAUGAGAUUUCCAGGUUCCAUCUAGCAUUAGUUCAUAGUAUUUGUUGUCUACUGGGCUACCUGUGUAUAGGGAUUUUAUAUAUACUGAUGGGAAUAGAAAGCAUUCCAGUCUCACGGGCCCUCUUCCCAGUUUCCCUUUAUGUUUUCUUCCCCUUAAAUAGGACCAUGAGUAUAAGUUCGAUAGAACCUUUAAGUCUUUUGUCUUGCAAAAAAGGCUCGGGAUAUCUGUCCCAUUAUGUUAUAACUUUGUCUAUUCGCUUAUCGCUGAGACUUGGGUACCUCAAAUGGUCACGUAGAAGCAUGUUGCGGGAUGGAACUUGGAAUUUAUACUUCUAAGGUUGAUGUUGAAUAAGAUAAUAUUUAGUUAGUAGCUUUUGAAUGUAUAAAUCUGUUUACUUCUUUUUCUACCCGUAUUCUGAACAUGCUUUGAUUGGUUUUGCAUUUUGAUGUCAAACUUCUGCUUUUCACUUCAUAGGCAUGCAUCCGGAUCGAUAUUAUUCUCUCUUUCACUUGACAAUAUUUUUUCUGAGUUAACAUGUCCAUUCUUUUUAUCAUCUGCCUUCUUUUAAAUAAGAUAUGUGGUUUCCUAGCAUUUUUUUUGUUCGAAUAUUUGUGUUAAGACAUUUAUUGUUCUAUUUUUUCCUUUUGUAUUUCGGAUAUGUUUUGAUUUCUUUUUUUUUUUUUUUUUGCAUGUAAACCACCUUGGAGUCCAAAUGGACUCUUCUUCCUUGCAUUUCAUGGUGAGCUAACAUGGCCCCCAUCCUUUGAGUCAAUCCCAAAAAAGAAUCCAAACGCCUAUCACGUGGCGUACGAAUACUAAGAAUCGAGAGAAGAAUGAUUGGAGUAAAGUCCUAUCAUUUGAAGCAGCUACGAGACCCCAAAGUUUCAUUUAUUAUUUUUGUUUAUUUAAUUAUUGUCAUCUUUAUUUAUUUAUUUAUUUAUUUAUUUAUUUACUUAUUUCCUUAUUUAUUCAUUUGGGCCUCGAAGCCGAAGUUGUACUUAAUACCGGUGAAGCGAGACUCGAUCUAAAGGCUCAAAAACAUAGAAUUAGGACAGGUGGAAGACGGGCUGAAAGCCCAAUAUCUAGAUUAGGACAAGGUUGUCGAUUAGGGCCGAUUGACUCAAGUCCUUCUGCUUCUACCCUUUCCCUUUUACUUAUGCUAAUUUGUUUUAUGUGUUUUGUUGUGAACCUAGUUAAAAUCCCUAGCUAAGUCGCUAAAAACUGUUUUUUCACAAACCUUAAAAAUAUUUCCUAAACAAACUACUUUUUCCAACAAAUCAAUAUUUUUUCAAAGUUAGUCAAAAGUGUUUUCAAACAGAUCGGAUAACCACAAGUUAGCGGAACGUUUUAGGUGCCUAACACCUUCCUAAAACGUUAAUAGGAACCAGUUACUCGGAAUCUCUAAAUCAAAAUGAUUUUCUUGUUUUGAAUCGUUUCGAAGUAACUCUCUAAAGUUUUCUUAAUUCCUUUUCAAAAUUAAGUGGCGACUCUUCUCAAAAAGUCAAAAUUUUUCCGCAAAAUAGACGGAAAGCUUAUUCAAUUCUUUACAAUUUGAAGGUAUAAAUCUGCCAAAAUACCACCUAUAAACCAAGUUAUGCUCGUUCAAAGAUGACCUAUAUGAAAUCACACACGAAAACUUGGUGGAUUCAAAAUUUCUUAGCUUGGCUUACCCUAAGUGACUCUUAUGAACAUGCUUAACACAUCAUAAACUCUAUUAUCACUAGGAUACUCAUCCUAAUUCAUGUACUCCAAUAUGAAUCACAGGAUAGAAGGUUUCAUAUGUAGGAAUAACGGUUCAUUUUCUAGCUUAGAAAUAUACAGGGUAUUACAAUAUUAAAGGACCUGACAAUGUUUUUGUAGAUUUUCUUUCAAGAAACUUCCAAUAUGGACAAUAGAACCUAAGUGUUGGUUAACAGGAUAUUCCAAAGAACGAAUGGCCUUGAAGAAGCCAUAAAUGAUAAAAGCAAUAUGCUAUUUAACAUUCGUGAUGAACUAUCAGCUUUGUCUGAAAUGAUGAGAAAAUGACAAUAUGGACUAAAUUAGCUUAACACUGAUCAAGCUGAAAAUAUCACAGAAUGUCAACUUCUCUGUGAACAUCUGGAUACUAGACCUAAGGGAUCAAAAGUCCCUAACAAAGUGGCAGGAGAUGUCCCACUAGCACCUAGUGCCAAAAAUAUCUCGAUGGUAAGCCUGGAUAUGUUAAUGGCCGAGUCUUCGGACCUAGCUAAAAGACAAGCACAAGAAAAAUUCACUAUAUAAACAACAUCAGUGAAAACUGAAAAACUUCUAAUAAUUCAAAAAAAAGGACUAACUCUUCUGCAGGAAAAAGAUUUGCUUCUUUUCAAGUCUGAAAAAUCCAUCCAAAAGAGGAAGAAUACUUGGCAUUCACCAGACAAAUUUACAAUCUACCAAGUGAGAGUGGAGAAACUUUUGGAAUUCUAGGAACAAAAAGUUUGUAUCCAAGAAUUUCAGUAUUUCCAGGCGGAAAUCCUAGCUUCACAGCUAAAUUAUUUGAAUUCGGAUAUCUGGACUGAGUCUAUACCAAUUCAGAUUUAUCUAAAUUAAUAAAAUUACCAAAUCAAUUAACAAGUUCAAUAAGAAACUUUGCUGAGGGACAUGGAGUCUAUUGCAGAUUUUACAGCAUAUCCAUGGAAUUUCAAAAUGAAAAAUUAUUUUUUCCAAUGAUUAAUUACAUCUCGGUGAAAAUAUUAAAGACUUUCAGUAUCAGCGCAAUAGACGUAGGUAAAAAAUUCCUGUAUUUGAACUCAAAAUGGAUUCAAACAAGGAGAGCUUUAGCGAUGAAGGCCCUGUACAACAUCCUUAAAAACAUUAUGAAGAUAAUUAUAAAUCCAUGACAGGGAUACACAUUGGGUUUUUAUGACCAGAGAAAAAUCAAAGUCAGAAGUUCUAAAGGAGAAAAUUACUAAAUUUGAAACACAUUAAUUCUAGGCUACCCCAGAAACAUGGGUAAUGGCGUGCAAAUUACUGGAGCACAAGCACAACAAAGAAGAAGAUGAAGAUAGCACAUCAAUGUAAAAAAAAAUAUAAAUUACAACUAUAAAAAGAAUCGAAAGGCAAUAUUAGAGCAAAAGACGUAAGAACUUACGUCAAAAUAUUCGUCGGCAUAAAGCGAUAAAAUAAAAAAAGAAUAUUGGACCACUUAGUCUAAAAGAUGCCACAAAAGGAAAAAGAAAGAUCAUCCAGAUAAGGGUCCAAAAAGAAAUAGAAGAUUUUUGAAGAAUCCAAAAAAAAUAGAUAAUUAUAAUUCUACCCCUCCUUACAUCUAUAAAAGGAGUGAUUGAAACACAAGAAGAGGCGGAACAACUUUUCUGAAAUCUUCCAUUUUGGAAAAAUAUUAGGUGUCCUGCAAAUAAGUGAGUAAAACGUUUCUCCCAUCACGAAAAUGUAUCUAAAUAGUUUGUAUGUAAGUAUAAGGAAGAUCUGAUUAAAGAUUUUUUCUUAUGUAGUAUUUUUAUAAUAUAAAGAUUUUUGUUUAUAUAUCUUCUGUCCAAUUCAUAUGUUAGCCACAAGUGAAGGGCGUGAUCUUCCGUAUCGGAGGAAAGACAAUAGGAUAGCCUCAGACCGAAUGUGGUACUAUUACAGCUAGCAAAAGAAAAAGUUGAAAGGUAUAAAUAUUAAACUCCAAGUUUUCAUGAAACUAUUAGCAUAAGGAGAAAUCUAUCUUCAUGUCUUUUAAUACUUAUUCAUACAUACUAUAUGAUACUAGGUAGCUGUAAAGAAUAAAGAUUAUCAUGAAAUGUUCAAUAUUUCAAUGAGUUAUUACACUAUUUUUCUUGAUGAUGAAACAUUAACCACCAUUUUAAUGGUAAUUAAAUUAAAAGAGAUUUGCAAGAGAAAAUUCUUGAAAAAAUCAUAGAUAACCUUGUUCAAGAAGAACGGUCUAUAAAUGAUUAGUCAUAUAUAUAUAGUGAUAAUGAAUCAUACUAUUUGUAUAAUGAAAACUAUUUCACUGACUAAAUCAAAUAAAAUUUCGCAUACCCUGUUUGUGAACAACACCCCUCCAAGUUGGUAUCAGAACCAAUAAGAUUAAAAUACUCUAUGAGAAGUCCUCGUAAAAAUACUAAAACUUAUAGAGAAAUCAAGAGAGAAUUAAAAAGUCUUUAUUUUGAAUAUAAAAGACUUAACAAUACAAAAGAAGAUCUAAUGAGAUUGGAUUAGCUAAUCACCAUAAUCUCUAGACUAGAGUAUAAUCUAAUUAGACAUCUGGAGUCCAGAAAUAAAACCAAAUGAAUAAAGAACAAAACAACGAACAAAUUUUAAAAUUGAUUUUGGAUUAAAAAAACUAGAAGUUAUUAUUCAAAAAAAUCGCUAUGAAUAUAAUUUAUUCACAUGAGUUUGCAAAAAAUCACUAUUCUCUCAAAGAAAAGUUAUACUUCAGUUGGAACUUGAAAUUUUCCACUAUGAUCAUAAGCUCUGACAUAAUCUAUAUUAACUUGCUAUGGGUUAUAACAAAAUUUUACAAAAACUUGAUGACCUUAUUGACAUACAAAAGCAUCUAGUCGUAAAAAUCAACCUAAUAGAAAAGAAAAUCUAGUUUAUCAAAGAAAGUUCACCUAUAAGGGUAAAAACCUCAUCGAAAGGCCUGCCGCCUUUGAUAAAGAAUUAGGAAAGAAGUUUAGGAGAGAAAUUUUUGCUCCCUCCUUCUCUAAUAAAGGUAUAUAUCAAAAGGGUAGCCUUGAUGAAAAGAUUAUAUCUAGAUUUCUCGAAAAGAAACGAAAGGCGGAAAUAGAGGAUAAAUCUACUCUUAAAAGAGAAGAAAAUUCUAGUUCCAAACUAAAAGAAGGUUCUAGUUCAAAAACAAAAAUAGAAGAAUCAAAUGAAUGACAUAGAUGAAUUAAUUUAUGAAUUAGAAUAACUUGAUCUAAAAGACCAAGAUUACCAUGUUCUCAUGAACAGAGGAGAUACAGGAGGACUACAAGGAAACUUUAGGAGUCCUAAAGAAAAAGGAAGCUCUCUUCUACAGAGCCUAUGCAAAAAGAUAAUUUCUUUCCUAAAUCCAAAAAAGAAAAAGACUAUAAUAGUCAAUAUCAUAACAAUAAUAAGGCCAAAUACAUGCCUAAAAGACUUUUAAAAGGAGCCACUGGAUCUACUCAGUUUUUAGAUCUAUAUUGUAAAAGAGAACCAGGAGAAUUUCUGGAUUUAUGGGUUAAAAACCUAGAAUUAUUCUUCAUCACGAGAAAAGGAGUAAACUAUACAAAUGACGAAAAUUAUUUAAUUGCUGCUAACACCUUUACUGGAAAGGUAAACAAUUGGUUUAAAGGAGUAUCAGAAGAUGCUGAAAAAGUUUUUAAAAUUGAAGUCAUAGAGCAGUUUGAAAAAUCAACUAGAGCAGGAAUAGACCAUAGUAAACUAUGUUGGAUGUGAAUUCUUAGGUAUCUAAGGGGAUGUCUCUAGAGAAAAAGAAACCAAAGGCUAUUAGCAGCAGAAUGCCGAAAGAAACUUCAAAUUUGUAAAAUGAGCUAUAUCCAUGAAUAUACCUGCAAAUUUGAAAAAUACUACUACAAUCUAUUUGAAAGUAGCCUAAUCAUGAAGACAUAUAUGGAUAAAUACUUCUAAAAUCUACCAGGAUUUUGGGCUAGUUAAUUCAGGGAAGAAUAUGCUUAAAGAAGAUCAAACAGGUGAUUUAUUAGGGAAAAGAAUUUCAUUUCUUAAUCAAAGAAUUAGCUAUCUUUGUAUGUUACAUAAUAUACAAAGAAAAUCCAAAAGAAUCAACACCCAAAUUUAUUGUGAAGAUACAGAAGCAACAUCAUAAUGGGGAUGUCAUAAAAGAAAUCCUUUAAAAAGAAAAAGAAAAGACAAAGGAUUAAUCAAAAGAAAAAAUGUCUCCAAAAUAAAUUAUGUACCAAAAAAGGGUAUUUCAAAAAACGAAGAAACUUGAAAAAGAAAUCCACAGACAAAUGUAAGUGCUAUAAUUAUGGAGAGGAAGGUCACAAAAUUUAUGAGUGUAACAAAAAGAAAGUUUAAAUCUCUAAAAUAGAUAGACAGGAAAUUGAUUCUGACUUAGAGUCAAUAACAUCUAUCAAAAGUGAAGACAUUUACAUAGAACUCUAUGAAGAAUUCUCAGAUUUGAGUACUGAUUUAGAAGAAUGAAUCAAUAAAUUGAGAAUCUAGAGAAAACCACUCAAGUUAUAGAAGUUGAAGAAGAUCGGCGAGGAUAUGCUUUGAAAACAACAUACGAUGGAGAAUUAUUAAUAAAAAUUCAAGGAUUAAAAUUUAACCUUAGAACUGAAGAUAGUCUAUUCAGUAGGUUACAAAGAACCUUUUCAAGAGAUCAAAUCUCAUACCACGAAUAUCAAGAAAUUGAAAAGGCAAUAGAGAUAACUUUAACCACUGAAAGAUACAAGAUUAACUUAUUAACAAAGCAAAUGAUCUACCAAAUUCUAAGAAAAAUUUUGGAAAGACAAAGAAAGAAGAUGAAUUACAUUCAUCUUAGAGGAAUCGAAAAAAUGGUAAAAUCCACCUUAAAAGAAGGAAUUAAAUAUCCUAAAGUUAUCAACCUUUCAGACGAAAGAUUUAUUAACACAAGGAAGGAAACCUAGGUAUUGUUGAAGAAAAUUUAGCUUACACCAAAUUAUUAUUUACCUACUAUCCAAGGUAUUGCAUAUCACUGAAAGAUGCCAACUUUAAUGAAGCCUUAAGUUUGCAUUUUCAGGUAAAAAGAGAUGAUUUAUUUAAACCAGGUAACCAUAUUAUGAGUAUUUAUUAUCAAACUCAGUUUUUAGAUCUAUAUUGUAAAAGAGAACUAGGAGAAUUUCUGGAUUUAUGGGUUAAAAACCUAGAAUUAUUCUUCAUCACGAGAAAAGGAGUAAACUAUACAAAUGACGAAAAUUAUUUAAUUGCUGCUAACACCUUUACUGGAAAGGUAAACAAUUGGUUUAAAGGAGUAUCAGAAGAUGCUGAAAAAGUUUUUAAAAUUGAAGUCAUAGAGCAGUUUGAAAAAUCAACUAGAGCAGGAAUAGACCAUAGUAAACUAUGUUGGAUGUGAAUUCUUAGGUAUCUAAGGGGAUGUCUCUAGAGAAAAAGAAACCAAAGGCUAUUAGCAGCAGAAUGCCGAAAGAAACUUCAAAUUUGUAAAAUGAGCUAUAUCCAUGAAUAUACCUGCAAAUUUGAAAAAUACUACUACAAUCUAUUUGAAAGUAGCCUAAUCAUGAAGACAUAUAUGGAUAAAUACUUCUAAAAUCUACCAGGAUUUUGGGCUAGUUAAUUCAGGGAAGAAUAUGCUUAAAGAAGAUCAAACAGGUGAUUUAUUAGGGAAAAGAAUUUCAUUUCUUAAUCAAAGAAUUAGCUAUCUUUGUAUGUUACAUAAUAUACAAAGAAAAUCCAAAAGAAUCAACACUCAAAUUUAUUGUGAAGAUACAGAAGCAACAUCAUAAUGGGGAUGUCAUAAAAGAAAUCCUUUAAAAAGAAAAAGAAAAGACAAAGGAUUAAUCAAAAGAAAAAAUGUCUCCAAAAUAAAUUAUGUACCAAAAAAGGGUAUUUCAAAAAACGAAGAAACUUGAAAAAGAAAUCCACAGACAAAUGUAAGUGCUAUAAUUAUGGAGAGGAAGGUCACAAAAUUUAUGAGUGUAACAAAAAGAAAGUUUAAAUCUCUAAAAUAGAUAGACAGGAAAUUGAUUCUGACUUAGAGUCAAUAACAUCUAUCAAAAGUGAAGACAUUUACAUAGAACUCUAUGAAGAAUUCUCAGAUUUGAGUACUGAUUUAGAAGAAUGAAUCAAUAAAUUGAGAAUCUAGAGAAAACCACUCAAGUUAUAGAAGUUGAAGAAGAUCGGCGAGGAUAUGCUUUGAAAACAACAUACGAUGGAGAAUUAUUAAUAAAAAUUCAAGGAUUAAAAUUUAACCUUAGAACUGAAGAUAGUCUAUUCAGUAGGUUACAAAGAACCUUUUCAAGAGAUCAAAUCUCAUACCACGAAUAUCAAGAAAUUGAAAAGGCAAUAGAGAUAACUUUAACCACUGAAAGAUACAAGAUUAACUUAUUAACAAAGCAAAUGAUCUACCAAAUUCUAAGAAAAAUUUUGGAAAGACAAAGAAAGAAGAUGAAUUACAUUCAUCUUAGAGGAAUCGAAAAAAUGGUAAAAUCCACCUUAAAAGAAGGAAUUAAAUAUCCUAAAGUUAUCAACCUUUCAGACGAAAGAUUUAUUAACACAAGGAAGGAAACCUAGGUAUUGUUGAAGAAAAUUUAGCUUACACCAAAUUAUUAUUUACCUACUAUCCAAGGUAUUGCAUAUCACUGAAAGAUGCCAACUUUAAUGAAGCCUUAAGUUUGCAUUUUCAGGUAAAAAGAGAUGAUUUAUUUAAACGGUUACAAAGAACCUUUUCAAGAGAUCAAAUCUCAUACCACGAAUAUCAAGAAAUUGAAAAGGCAAUAGAGAUAACUUUAACCACUGAAAGAUACAAGAUUAACUUAUUAACAAAGCAAAUGAUCUACCAAAUUCUAAGAAAAAUUUUGGAAAGACAAAGAAAGAAGAUGAAUUACGUUCAUCUUAGAGGAAUCGAAAAAAUGGUAAAAUCCACCUUAAAAGAAGGAAUUAAAUAUCCUAAAGUUAUCAACCUUUCAGACGAAAGAUUUAUUAACACAAGGAAGGAAACCUAGGUAUUGUUGAAGAAAAUUUAGCUUACACCAAAUUAUUAUUUACCUACUAUCCAAGGUAUUGCAUAUCACUGAAAGAUGCCAACUUUAAUGAAGCCUUAAGUUUGCAUUUUCAGGUAAAAAGAGAUGAUUUAUUUAAACCAGGUAACCAUAUUAUGAGUAUUUAUUAUCAAACUCUAUAUGCAGUUACCAAUUCAAAUUAUGGAAAUGUCUAAAAAAAAUAAAGGCUUGGUUGAAACUAAUCAAGAAUGUGCAGGGAUAGCUAGAUAGUUGAAGCAGAAGUUCAACAGGCAGAAAUCCCGAGUGAAUAUGAAAUUCAAGUUGGAAGAGCCCUAGAAAUAGAAAACUCAAGUAUCUCAAACUUGAGACUCUCUAUAGAGUAUGAAAGAAAUGCCAUAAGAAAAGGUAAUUCUAAAAUAAUUACCAAUGAAAACUCUAAUAACAUUCCUAAAGUUUCAGGAAGAUUUUUUACUGGAAGCAACUGGAAUAAACAAACCAUUCUAAUUCAAUCAGGAUCUUUAGCAAACCAUGUUAAGAAAAGUAUCCUAGAUGGUUUAACCACGUAUGAAGGUACCCCAUACAUUUAUAAAACAUUUGAAGGAAACAACUACAACUGCUCAAAAAUGAUAAAACUAUCAAUCCAGUUUGAAUCAACUAGAAUAACUGUUCCCUGUUAUAUUACCAAUCAUGAAAAUGAUUAUAAUAUAAUAUUGGGAGGAACAUUUCUCAAUAUUUUGGAUCAAUAUAAUAUCUAAAAGGAAGGAAUUAACAUAACCUUUGGCAAAAAAACUUAUUUUAUCCCUAAAAGCUAAAUGCCAAAAGAAACCUCUUUUAGAGUAGCAGUAUUUGUAGAAUUUACUACUUACGAAAAAAAUUGACAUCAUGUUGUCAGAUAGACAAUGAUUCUGAAGCUAGUUUAGCUAAAUUUUUUUUGAUAAAAGACUGGAAAACUACUACUAUUAAUGCUUCCGUUGUCAGUGUUACAGGUGACAGGGAAAAGCUCACACAUUAUAAAUAAAAUGUGGAUGUUACCAAUAGAGCCACCGACAUCGAAUGGGCAUAGGUUUAUUUUGGUUGCCAUCAAUUACUUUACUAAGCCAUCACUAAGAAAGUGAUUGCAGAUUUUAUAAAGAAUAACCUGAUUUGCUGAUUCAGCGUGCCAGAAUCAAUCAUUACAGAUAAUGAGGCCCACUUGAACUGUCACUUGAUGAAUGAAAUUUGUGAUCAAUUCAAAAUUACGCAUCGCAACUCGACUGCGUAUCGUCCCCAAAUGAACGGAGCAGUGGAAGAUGCCAAUAAGAACAUCAAGAAGAUCUUGAGAAAGAUGGUUGAAAAUGAUAGAUCAUGGCAUGAGAUAUUAACUUACGUCUUGUUAGGGUAUCGCACGACGGUUCGAACCUCCACUGAGGUAACUCCAUAUUAAUUGAUUUAUGGAAAUGAAGUGGUGAUACCUGCUAAAGUUAAAAUACCUUCCCUAAGGAUUAUCCAAGAAGCUGGACUAAGUAACGAAGAAUGGGUUCGUACUUGCUAUGAACAACUCAUGUUGAUUGAUGAAAAGAGAAUGGUCGUUGUAUGCCAUGGUCAGCUAUAUCAACACAGGAUGGUUCAUGCCUUUAACAAGAAGGUGAGAGCUUAAAUAUUUGAAGUGGGGAAAUUGGUUCUCAAACGAAUAUUCCCUCACCAAAAGGAGUACAAGGGAAAGUUCGCUCCAAACUGGAAAGGGCCACACAUAGUUCGCAAGAUACUAUCUGGAGGAGCUCUGAUUUUGUCUGAGAUGGAUAGCACAGAGUGGACCAAACCAAUCAAUUCUGAUGCGGUAAAGAGAUAUUAUAUUUAAAGGGCGUUCUAGUUUCGUGUUUAUUUAGUUAAUUUACUUGUAAUCACAUUUGUAGUAAUGUUGUUUUCUAGUAUGUAACUGCCUAGAAUCCUUUCCCUUUAUGUAUGAACUACGUUUGACCUGAAUUCCCAAGAGAGGGAUACGUAGGCGGCCUAUGUCGGCUUCGGUCAACCCCUUAGGAUAAUUUAUCCUUUCCCUUUAUGUAUGAACUACGUUUGACCAGAAUUCCCAAGAAAAAGAUAUGUAGGCAGCCUAUGUCAGCUUCGGUCAACCCCUUAGGAUAAUUUAUCCUUUCCCUUUAUGUAUGAACUACAUGAUGACCUGAAUUCCUAAUAAAGGUAUACGUAGGUGGCCUAUGAUGGCUUCGGUCAACCCAUUAAUAUCAUUUGUAUAUCCCUAGCAUAGUUCUAAACUACGUUUGACCUAAUUCUUGCUUCAACGGGAUACGUAGGCACCCCAACUUCUUGGUCAUAUAACCCCAGGAAAUAGAAACUGGGAUAGAAUUUUUGAGAAGGAAUAAAUUCACAAGAUAAGAUCAACGUCCGACAAAGAGAAUGAAGAUCAGCAAAGACUUCAAAUCCACUCGAGUUGGUAUCAUCUCAAACAACUCUAAACUAUGGCAGAAAUUUUGAGGGAAGACCUCAAAAUUUACACCAGAUGCUGGAACAUAUUUCAAAUUCCCCAACACCAGAGGUUAAGGCCAAGAUUUUAAAGUAGUCAGCUGCGACAAAGUCUAGGAAAGGUCAAUCUCUUGCUAUGAUAGAACUAUUUGAAGAAAACCUACAACGAUGAUCAUGAGCUUUGGAAAUCAUCCGUCGGAUAUAGUCAAAACCACGAGAAAGAAGUUCGUUGAGCUAGUACAUGACAUGACUGACAGAGAUUUUCUAGAGUUUUACAGAAGUUUUCAAAAUUAUUUUUAAAAAAUUAAGACUAUUUUUAAAAGAAUCUUACAACUCAUUAAUUUAGUACUUGCCUAGACAUCACUUGGGGUGGAGUGUCAGGAUAGAAUGUCCAGAUAUGGUGGAAUGCCCAAGAGAGGAAAAGAAGCAAAUCAAGGAUCGAAGAAGGUCAACACGGAGUGAUUUCAUUCAAACUAAUCAUUUUUCUGUGAAUGCAGGGAUGAAUACACAAAAGUGAGGGUUUCUUUCAAUAAUUCCUGAGCAAAUUGGGAGCCACAACAGAGUAUUAAUGCCUAAGAACGGUACAUGUAGAAAGCAAGAUGCUGACAAAUGAAGUCAGGUAAAAUCAUUUUAAAAUUUCCCAAGAGGGGUAUUGCAUAUCAUUGCCGAAAGGGCCAUUACAUAUCAUUGUCGAAAGGGCCAUUGCAUAUUAUUGCCGCAAGAGCCAUUACAUAUCAUUGUCGAAAGGGCCAUUGCAUAUUAUUGCCGCAAGAGCCAUUACAUAUCAUUGUCGAAAGGGCCAUUGCAUAUCAUUGCCGCAAGGGCCAUUAUAUAUUAUUGCUGCAAGGGCCAUUACAUAUUAUUGCUACAAGGGUCAUUACAUAUCAUUGCCGUAAAGGUCAUUGUGUAUCAUUCCCGUAAGGGCCAUUGCCUAUCAUUGCCGCAAGGGCCAUUACAUAUCAUUGCCGCAAGGGCCAUUAUAUAUCAUUGGCGUAAGGGCCAUUAGAUAUCAUUGCCACAAGGGCUACUGCAUAUCAUUGCCACAAGGGCCAUUACAUAUCAUUGCCGAAAGGGCCAUUGCAUAUCAUUACCGCAAGGGCCAUUGCAUAUCAUUGCCGUAAGGGUCAUUACAUAUCAUUGUCGCAAGGGCCAUUGCAUAUCAUUGCCGCAAGGGACAUUGAAUAUCAUUGCCACAAGGGACAUUGCAUAUCAUUUCCGCAAGGGCCAUUACAUAUCAUUGCCACAAGGGCCAUUACAUAUCAUUGCCGCAAGGGCCAUUACAUAUCAUUGCCGAAAGGGUCAUUGCAUAUCAUUACCGCAACGGCCAUUGCAUAUCAUUGCCAUAAGGUCCAUCACAUAUCAUUUCCGUAAGGGCCAUUGCAUAUCAUUGCCAAGAGGACCAUCUCAUACCAUCGCCCAAGAAGGCUAUUCAUAUAUCUGUUGACACACGAGAUACAACACUGACACGAGGAUAUCUUUAACAUAUCUGUUGACAUGCGAGACACAAUGCUAGCGUCGAGAAUAUCAUCACCAUUCAAUAUUUAUUGACAUGCAAGACAUAAAUGCUGGCAUCAAGGAUAUCAUCAGCAUUUCAUAUCUGUUGACACGCAAGAUAUAAAUACUGGCGUCAAGGAUAUCAUCAGCAUUUCAUAUUUGUUGACACGCGAGGCACAAUGCUGGCGUCGAGGAUAUCAUCAACAUAUUUAUUGAUACGCAAGACACAGCACUGGUAUUAAGGAUAUAAUCAGCAUUCAAUAUAUCUGUUGACAUGCGAAACAUAACACUGGAGUCGAGGAUAUCAUCAGUAUUUAAUAUAUCUAUUAACAUGCAAGACACAACACUGGUGUUGAGGAUAUCAUCAUCAUUUUAUAUCUGUGAUAUGCAAUACAUAAAUGCUGGUGUCGAGGAUAUCUUAUUAUUUUAUAAAUCAUCAUCUGAAUGCAUUGAAAGCUCACUAUUUGAAGGAAUACCUUUAAGUUACUAUCUAAGGAUGAAUGAUAUAUAAGAUUUCCUAGAAAUUGACAAUUUGAGGGUCAUCUAUAAGUCAUAUUAUUUAAAUUAGGAUAGUGUGCAAGAUCACCUAUGAGUUGAUAGCCUAUAGGUCAUCCAUAAGCCACAACAACAUCCUAACCGGAUAUUGUGCAAGAUCGCUCAAAAAUUGAUAGUUCAAAGGUUAUCCACAAGUCGUAACUAAAUUCUUAUCGGAGAAUAUGGAAGAUUAUCAAAUUGAUACGUCCAAGGGUUCUCUAUAAGCUGCGUCAUAUCCAAGAUCGAUUAUGUGUAGGAUUACCCAAAGGCUAACAAUUUGAGGAUUAUCUAUAAAUCGUAUUGUAUCCAAGGUCGGAUGAUGUGCAGAAACCCCUAAAAGCUAGCGAUUGGAGGGAUAUCUGUAAGUCAUCUAUUAUCCAAAGUCGGAUAAUGUGCAGGAUUACCUAAAAUCUUGAAAUUCAAAGGAUAUCUGGAAGUCGCCUCGUAUCAAACAUCAAAUAAUGCACAAGAUUAUCCAAAGAUUGAUAAUUUAAAGAAAAUUUAUAAAUCGAUCAUCGGCUAUAACCGGAGAGGUUAUCAUUCCACAUACAACAAGUGAUAUAGGUAACUAAAAGGGUUGCCACAUCAGCACAAGAUUACACAGUUGUAGAAACCGUUCUGCAUAAAGUAUCGCCGGUCUCUAAAAGAGCCACCCCACUUUGAAGACAUAUUAAACCGAUAAAUGUCAUAAUUAUACAACAACCAAGAGGGUUGUUGUGUUUCUUGUUGCCAGUUCUUUCAUUCUAAAUAGGUACAUGAAGAGAUGAAUCCGCUUUUCAGGCCACAACUCACGUGGAGAUAUGGUAAAAGACUACAUACCUCUUUCGUAAAUUAUGUUUAGUACUAACACUUUUUGCUUGAAGAAUUGUUGAGAGCAUUCGAGAGGAUGAAAAUCUCAAAUAAAAACCACAGGUGCGGACGACUUCAAGUAGGACGCAGCACAAUGUGAAACUCUUUUUUAGUAGCAAAAUAGGACAUAGUCUAAAGAGGUACGUCAAACUCUUUGGACGCGAGCUAAAGGAUGAUUACCACCACCAUCCAACCACACCCCUGUUAGAUGGCAUGUGGGUAUUUCAGGAUAUUGUGAUUUCAGCUUCACCUUCGAGAUAUUUUAAACUCAUACCGAGAGUAACCUUCUCUUUUUUUCAAAUUUGGGUGGCAACACACUUAGUGUUUUGGAAAUUAUGUCCAGGUAAGUUAUUGCCUAUGGAUGUGAAGGAUCACACAUUCAUGAUUAAGAGGUUACAAUAUUUUUUUGAAACUCGAUCAACUUGUCACUCAUCCUAAGCCAAAGAUCGUCUGAAAUAAAAGACUAUCUUUCCUACCAAUAGAGUCGAACUACAAGCAGUCUGAUUCUCUGAAAUCUUGGGGAUAUGUAGGUUGGGAUAUAUAUAGAAAACUCGACUGCAUUCCAACCUCUCCCCAAAUCCCUCUAUUCCCCAGCUUUCCGGUUUUAUCAAAAACUCCAAAAAUUGAGACAGCUUGUGAAUUAUUUAAAAAUCAUGCUUUAAAUCAAGUUUUAUGAACUACAAGUGGCCUGAAUUCUCAUGCAACCUGAAAUCUGUAGGAAACCUGAUGCCAAGGUUUGACCAUAACUCUAGAAACUCGUGUGGAAAACAAACUGCUCUUAGAUAUAAAUUUGUGGUCGGACAAAAAUUAGGAGCGUCAACCUCCCUUUGCCCAGAAUUACUUGCAUCCAUCCUACCCAAAUGGAGGGGGCAGUUGUUGAUACCUAAUUUUUGCCCUCCACAACUACGUUUAAUCUCGAGUUUCUUUGAUUUUCAAAUAAAAUCACAUCAAUUAUUUUUUCCAAAUAAAUGCAUUUUAAAAUAGGCAUUUGGGAUAAAUUUGACAAUGAAGUGAUAAUUAUAUAUUUUUUCAUAUUUGCAUAUAUGAGAUUGUAUAAAUGAUGUCAUUUAAAUAAACAUUUUCAUCAAAAUUGGAAUUUAAAUUAAGGAUUAUUUAGAAAAUAAAUUUAAAUAAUUAAAUCUUGAUUUAAAUAUAAUUUAUUAUCAUAAAUAAUCUAUUUGGAGAAAUACUUGUUUCAUUUUAUUAAGUUAAGAAGCUCGGGACUGAGUGAAAUAUUUAUUUGUAUCAAAUUUUGAUUAAUUUGGGCCAAUCUAUUAAAUUUGACAAUAAUCAAAAUCAAAUCGGCCUCGAUUGCAAUGCAAUUGGCUAAUUGAUUUUCAAUUAGGCUAAAAUUUAAAUGAAUUUAGUUGAUUCUUAAUUCAAUUGGGGUUAUUUGUUAAAUAACACCAAUUUCAGCCUAUUCUUUAUCUUUAAUCACCGGCCCAAAACAAAACAAUAUCAGACCUGGGCCCAUUUAUUCAUGCAAUUUCAAUGGCCCAACCUCAAUUAAAACUCUCAGCCACUAUUCCCUUCCCUAGCCCAGUCUAAUGAAAGCCGCGACCCGGGCCCAAUCCACCCUUAUCUUCUUAUCCACAACUAUCAACACCAUUCAAUUUAAUAACAACGUAUAAAUCAACCUUCAACAUCGAUGACAAAAUCAAUCCAAAGCACAACUCUCCUCCCAAAUCUAAGGACCCGAUAACACCCCCAACAACUCACUUACCCAAGCUCCAACCCAUCUGUUUCUUUAUCGUCACGUGCCUUUCCACGUGAAUUCGUAUAGAAAAGUUCGAAAACCUUCUAGAAAGAACUUAGCUAUCAUCAUACAAUGUCCAUAUUCCACAAAUCUCGGGACAUAUGGUAUAAUUUGGUACAUUUGUGGGGGAAUUCGAUUGGAUUAAGAGAGAUUCCAUUUCUCCGCAUUGAUUUCCCUGGGGGAAUAAUCCAAAUAGGUACAAGUCACUUGUUUUGGAAACCCUAGCCUCAAUUUGAAUUUUGAAUUUCUCUUCUUUUUUAAAUCCCUAAAUUUUCCCUAAUUAGUCUUCUAUAUAAGAACCCAUUUAGGUCACUGUUAGGGGGUCAAAAAAAUUCUGGGGGGUUAUUUGGAGGCUGAUAAUUCUGGGGUUUAGAAAAUUUUCUAAAAACCUAGGUUGAACAAAAAUUUUUCUUUUGGGUAAAAAAAGGAAAGUUUUGAAAAAAAGUAAUUUGGUUUUGGGGAAAGCGUAACUUUGUUCGGUAAAGAUUUUAGGGAGAAAUAGUUAGCUAGUCGAGUGUUCAUGAUGGUAUUGAGCUUUCUUGGUGGUGAUAAGAGUCCGAUCUUAGAUUGUUGCCCCAUUUUGCUGCUUCGAGAGAGGUAAACACCUCUUUUUCAUUUUAAUUUUGAUGUGGUUUUCUAUUCUUCAUCUCUUUCUUUAGGAUUUCAUUAUAGUAAUGUUGUUGUGUGCUGGGAUUAUGUAUUGUAGGAGCCAUGAAGGCCAUUGAAUUUUUAGUCUGGUAUUUGUUUAAAGAAAUUUUCCUAAUCAGUUUGUUUUACUGGUUUUUCCAUGAGUUUCUCCUUUUCUCUAUGUAAACUUGUUCAAUACAUUGUCAGUGUGAACCAUGGUUUUACGUGAAAGGUUACUUUUUUUAUACCUGUACAUUUUUUCUGACCUGAAUAUGGAAGCAAACCUCAAAUGACAACAUUCAUUAGUAUCUUGAAUGAAAUUCGUUGACUGCUUUUGUGUAAAUGAGAUAAUGACUUGAUGUCUCAAAUAAUGUUAUAUUGCUUUGCUGUGCACCGGACCAAUCGAAUAUAUAUUAACCUUAGUUUUAUCGCGGAUUGCACUGUCUUAUUAAAAACUCUCCUGAUCGCUAACUUUCUGUAUCUGACUAUUUCAGUUGAGGUUUCAUUCAUGGAAUUUGUUGGGUAGAAGUUACCUUUGCUGGAUUUCUAGUUAAUAUCCCUUGUUUACCUGUUUUACUCAAAAUCUGUGGAGCUUCUCUGGUUGAUAUUUUGAGUAAAGUAUUGUGAAAACUUCCUAAUAAACUCUUGGCUCGCGAUUCUCCGUGACUUGCCAGAGAGAGAGAGAUGUUGGUUUAAAGAAUUUUCAUAUGAUUAUUGGUUAUUUGUUCCCUUUUGAAAUUUAAUUCUGACAUGUUUGAUUCGGAAAUGAGACUUCCAGGUUCCAUCUAUCAUUAGUUCGUAGUAGUUAUUGUCUACUGGACUACCUCUGUAUAGGGAUUUUAUAUAUACUCAUGUGAAUAGAAAGCAUUCCAGUCUCACGGGCCCUCUUCCUAGUUUCCCUUUAUACUCACAAGCCCUCUUCCCAGUUUCCCUUUAUGUUUUCUUCCCCUUAAAUAGGACCAUGAGUAUAAGUUCGAUAGAACCUUUAAGUUUUUUAUUUUGUGAAAAAAGCUCGGGAUAUUUGUCCCAUUAUGAUAUAACUUUGUCUAUUCGCUUAUCGCUGAGACUUGGGUACCUCAAAUGGUCAUAGUAGAAGCAUGUUGCGGGAUAGCACUUGGCAUUUAUACUUCUAUGGUUGAUGUUGAAUAAGAUAAUAUUUAGUUAGUAGCUUUUGAAUGUUUAAAUCUAUUUACUUCUUUUUUUACCCGUAUUCUGAACAUGCUUUGAUUUCUUUUGCAUUUUGAUGUCAAACUUUUGCUUUUCACUUCAUAGGCAUGCAUCCGGAUCGAUAUUAUUCUCUCUUUCACUUGACAAUAUUUUUGCUGAGUUAACAUGUCCCUU
RNAcentral lists this long non-coding RNA (17910 nucleotides) under Capsicum annuum. RNAcentral describes it as "long non-coding RNA (CANN_LNC012638)". The record is from RNAcentral. Lineage: Eukaryota; Viridiplantae; Streptophyta; Magnoliopsida; Solanales; Solanaceae.